RNAcentral lists this ribosomal RNA (481 nucleotides) under uncultured bacterium. RNAcentral's name for it is "partial 16S ribosomal RNA". It matches the Rfam family "Bacterial small subunit ribosomal RNA", at positions 28 to 507 of the family's 1533-position model. The record is from RNAcentral.
GACGAACGUUGGCGGCGUGCUUAAUACAUGCAAGUCAACUGAAGCAGUGGUAGCAAUAUCGCUGUGGAGGUGGCGCACGGGUGAGUAACACGUAGGUAAUCUGCCUUCAGGUCUGGCAUAACUCCGGGAAACCGGGGCUAAUAGCAGAUGAUGCAGCGGCUCGACAUCGAGACAGUUGUUAAAGCUAUGGCGACUGAAGAUGAGCCUGCGUCUGAUUAGCUAGUUGGCGGGGUAACGGCCCACCAAGGCAACGAUCAGUAGCUGGUCUGAGAGGAUGAUCAGACACACUGGAACUGGGACACGGUCCAGACUCCUACGGGAGGCAGCAGUAAGGAAUAUUGCUCAAUGGGAGAAAUCCUGAAGCAGCAACGCCGCGUGAGGGACGAAGGGCUUUUGCUUGUAAACCUCUGUAGUGAGAGAAAAAAAUCCCAAUCUUUGGGACAUGAUGGUAUCUCACAAGUAAGCCCCGGCUAACUACGUG